CUACGGGGCGCAGCAGUGAGGAAUAUUGCACAAUGGGGGGAACCCUGAUGCAGCAACGCCGCGUGGAGGAUGACGCAUUUCGGUGUGUAAACUCCUUUUAUAUGUCAAGAAAAUGACGGUAGCAUAUGAAUAAGCACCGGCUAACUCCGUGCCAGCAGCCGCGGUAAUAGCGGAGGGUGCAAGCGUUACUCGGAAUCACUGGGCGUAAAGGACGCGUAGGCGGGUUGGAAAGUCAGGUGUGAAAUCCUACAGCUUAACUGUAGAACUGCACUUGAAACUUCUAAUCUAGAGUAUGGGAGGGGGAGAUGGAAUUAGUGGUGUAGGGGUAAAAUCCGUAGAUAUCACUAGGAAUACCUAAAGCGAAGGCGAUCUCCUGGAACAUUACUGACGCUAAGGCGUGAAAGCGUGGGGAGCAAACAGGAUUAGAUACCCUAGUAGUC
RNAcentral lists this ribosomal RNA (440 nucleotides) under uncultured bacterium. RNAcentral describes it as "partial 16S ribosomal RNA". It matches the Rfam family "Bacterial small subunit ribosomal RNA", at positions 339 to 795 of the family's 1533-position model. The record is from RNAcentral.